ACCUCUGGAGAAUCCCGAGCAAACCGGGUGCCGAAGGGGCAAGGUGGAACAGCGAUGGCUUGCAGCUAUCGGCAGACAUUGCUGAUAGCCGGAAAUGCAGCAAAGCUUUCCGCUGAAACUCUCAGGCAAAAGGACAGAGGC
Molecule: non-coding RNA, 141 nt
Filed under: chicken gut metagenome
Description: Glycine riboswitch
Rfam family: Glycine riboswitch aptamer
About the family: This family represents the bacterial glycine riboswitch. Glycine riboswitches usually consist of two metabolite-binding aptamers domains with similar structures in tandem.
Source: RNAcentral